UCUUGUCUCUUGGGCGAAGCGCAGGUUGUGUCGCCGUUCUGGAGCAGCAGAUAAGUGGAAUUGUGUGCAACAGCGGAUAAAACGACGACACAGUGACUAUGACUCUUAUCCCCAUAUGCUAAAUGAGAUUUGCUCGAUGGGUAUCACGCGUGAGGAUUGUUUGAUGGGGUGCCCCUAUCUUUGUAAUAAUGUGAAAGUGUCAUCCUAGUUCAAUAGCAAAACAAGGUACACAGAUCGGAUGAAAAUAUUUACUAGUUAAUUGUACACCAAAGUUCUAAUGAUAAAAGGUAAUACUGAGCCUUCUUUUUUGGAUGUCUUACUAUUUAGCUCAACUGUCUUAUAAAUUAAGAACUGGGGCAAAGGUCGAGCUGCUGACACGCCCUUAAGAUUAUUUGAAACUUUCCGUCAAAGUGUCCAUAUCUGAAUAAUUAAAUGAUUAUCAAAGAAAGCGAGUUCGAUCAAGCAUUAAAAAGUGAACGAGCGACAAAUUCUAUACUACGGGUAGGAAAUAUAUCGGCAGAAGACUGUACAAAGUGUAUGUUUGUACAUGUUAAAGUUUCAUAAUCGCAUCACUUCUCAUCGCUUCUUUAUUUUUAUCUAAAUGUCAUGACUUAGUAACUCAUGUGUUGCAAAUUAAACUUUCGACCCGCUGAACUUAGAUUAACUUGCACUCCUGGAAGAAGCUACAUUGUUCUAUACAAACGUAGUAAAAAUACUUUGUAAGGUAUCAUUAAGAUAUUUAGUAACAGAUUACACGAGAGGGGAUAAGUUACUUAUUAACUCAAUUACUACUCAAGUACAAAUAGUAACCGCUUGAAGUACAUGAAUCGUUAUUAUUGAUUAAUGAACAUUAGAUCAGUACAUAACUGACAUUUAGUUUCUUGGUGAUUAAUACAUUAAGAGUAUAGUAUUACAUUGUUUGUGCUCCCUCAAGUGUUACCAAAUAUUUUUAAUAGACUAUGCUUUGUGAGUUGUUUUUAUUUAAUUCCAAUUAAAUUUAUUUCUACGAAGAGCAGCAUAGUUGUCCCAGUGCUCUGCACACAAGCACACAUAUUUAAUUUGGCUUCAUUCGUCCACACAAAACCACAGCAAUAUCAAAGUCUCUUCAACUCCCCUGCCAAUGGUGUUGUCUUGCAAAUAAUAAGGUACGGUAUGACUGCUAGCUGGAAAUACACAUUUAAGUGUGCUGUCUGUCUACACGUGCUCCUGUUUUAUUGAAGCUCUCUGUGGUUAUUUCUCAUGAAUGCCAAAUUUGAUGCUGUCCUGUGCUUAUCCAGGACCAGAGAUCCCUACAAAAAUGUGCAUAGAAAAACAGUUAAUACAUGGAGGCCUAUAUGUUCUUGGAUGUAAGCAUUUAAAUUCUGCAAUACUACAUUUCAUGAUACAGUGUUCGUUUUACAUGUGUGGGUUACUAAUCCUUUCCUUGCUGUGGCGUAACCUCCUCCGUCUUCCUCGUUACUGGUUUGUGCAUAAAGUUUCCCCUACAAAGUGCUUGGAUUGAAAAUUUCUUCCGAAGCCGUCUUGGCUGGCUGAACAGAGACGGCCUCAGGUUACCGCUGCGGCUGCCGGCACGGUAUCAGGCGGUCUCUAUCCGGAAAGAGGAAAUGGAGCUUUCGACAAUGUAAUUGCAAGCUGGAACUGGAGGAGGGGGCGGGAGAGGGAACAUCCCGCAGCAAAAAGUCCGGGAAGCAUCACUUUUUCUUUGGAUUGCGUCAGAAUGGAAAUUAUUUUUUUGCUUUAGAGUGUGAGGCAUGUAAUGAGUGUAAUUCCCAGCUGAUGAAAGUGGAGGAAAAGGGAUUCCGCAUUCAGCCUCGAGUCACGUCAUGCGGCAAAAACCGGCCAAAUGUUCUAUAAAUCGCAGCUUAAAAACACAGCGCUUUUCUUAGCACGUGACUGUUUACCAGGUAUCAUGUGCAAUUCUGCGUUUAGAAACAGCGUACGCUGCCGUUCUCAUAUGUGACAUUCUCACUUUAAAAUAAAAGGCUUGUGUCUGUUAAUGUAA
Long non-coding RNA from Paramormyrops kingsleyae, 2002 nucleotides. RefSeq lists it as uncharacterized. The record is from RefSeq and is a predicted model, not a curated record. Lineage: Eukaryota; Metazoa; Chordata; Actinopteri; Osteoglossiformes; Mormyridae.